Myotis myotis is the source of this 375-nucleotide long non-coding RNA. RefSeq lists it as uncharacterized. The transcript has 3 exons. NCBI's taxonomy places the organism in Eukaryota, Metazoa, Chordata, Mammalia, Chiroptera, Vespertilionidae. The record is from RefSeq and is a predicted model, not a curated record.
GGAGAAGAAGGAGAAGGAGAAGGAGAAGGAGAAAGGAGAAGGAGAAGGAGAAGGAGAAGGAAGAAGGAGACUCUAUCAAUAUGACCACUUACAGGAGAAAACAGAUCUCAGUAAAGGGAAACUAAAGAUAUUAAGAAGAUAUCACCAAGUUUUUAAGGGGUCAAGAACUGAACCUGCAGUACCUUUGAGCUGUGCCAGUGCCCAUUAACUCUGUGGCUUUAGAAACAGCAAAGACUACAGAGAACUGAGGGGACCUGGAAGAUUGGGCCUGGGGAUGGCUGCACUGUGAAGCCAUUGAGAAGUAAUUCUUUGUUGUUUUUUUAAAGAUUUUUACUGUGUUUUGUUUGCUUAUUUUUGUUUUAGAGAGUGAGAGAA